Long non-coding RNA from Bubalus bubalis (water buffalo), 526 nucleotides. RefSeq lists it as uncharacterized. The record is from RefSeq and is a predicted model, not a curated record. The transcript has 2 exons. NCBI's taxonomy places the organism in Eukaryota, Metazoa, Chordata, Mammalia, Artiodactyla, Bovidae.
UCAUCUGAUGAUGAGGGGACUAGCCUGAGAGCAGUACUCCUGAAGGAAAGCCGCACUGGAUCCGAGCUUAUAGCCCGUGUGAUAGCACUGUGUCCUGAACCACCUCACACAGCCCAGGAGACAGACUGCACAUUCCAGAUGGAUUACCUGCUGAUUCACUUCUCACACCACUAACAAGGUCAUGCUGACGUACACACUGUGCCCUGACUAGGCAGGCUCUCUGCCUCCCUCUUCCCAGACCUUCAUCCUCCACUCAUCCUCCAGCACCCAGAGCAACCACCAUCUGCUCCAGGACUCCUUCCCUGGUGCCCAAACCGUGCCCCUGAGACCAGAGCACCAACUCCAACUAAAGCACUGACAAUCCCAUUAAAGCACUGAUAAGCAACAGCACCUUGCUAUCAACCGCCAACUUGUCCCACCCAGUAGCUGUGCCCCGCCUGGAAGAGCAGAAGGGGUUUUUCAUCUCCUUAAUGCCAGUGCCUCACCUGUAGUGGAUAUGCAAUAAAGGUUAACUGAAUUAAAUUGA